UGCGUGGCUGCACUCCUUUGUUUGAAAGAAUGUCAGUUAUUCACAAGCACAGGGAUGGUCUUACCCAUAUCAUACUUGAAGUAGCACAAUUGGCAUGGGAGCAGAGUGCAUGCAUCAGCAAGCCAUCCAUUGCCUUAUCAGAAAGAGAGCUCAAGUUUCUGGGAAGUCAAACCUACAGCGAGCAUUUUUUACGCAACUCUACAUUUCUUCGUGUGCCUCUUGAUGGUCUGCUUUGUUCUCCUUUUUAGUAGUUAUUUUUCAGAUAGCUGUAUCACUAUUGUGUGUAUUCAGCAAUAAAACCUCCAUUGGUAGUCAGUGCUUGUGUCUACGUCCUCGUUUAACCUUUGCACUGUACACUCACGAUAAUGGAUCAACAACUAGCUUAAUAAGCUGCCCUUGUAAAUUCUUAUAGGAGAUGCUCCUUCAAGUUUGUAUUCAUGGCUAAUUUUCCCUUGUGUGCAUGUUUUAGUAAUAAGCUAAUUUGAAAUAUUAAUUAAAACCUUUUAUAACAUCUUGUUUGGUGAAAGUAUUUUAAGAGUUUGUGAACUCUGGUCAUGAUUAUCUGUUUAUCUUGGCUAUUGCAGGACAAAAGGAUUAAAUGUUACCCCUGUCCUGUGUCAAAUCCAUCUGAUCAAUUCUCUAACCUCGGUCUUGUCACGCACCUAAUGCUUUCAUGGUGCAGUUUGCUUAAAUUCUCCCAUCUGAUGACUCACGGUUCAACUGUUUGAUAUUAUUUCAUGGAAAUGGUUGCGCUUCAGUGCUGUUGCAUAUUGUUUCUUGUGUAUUGUUUGAUGUCGAAGGUUGAUGCAUGCUUUUUUAAACAUCAGGUACCCAAAUAAAUUGUGCAAUGUUGCUGCAAGGAGCCUCGUAAACCAGUACCCAGCACUGAGGGACACAUUGCACCUUGGCCAUUUCUCAUGGUAUAUGUGCCUAAGAAACAAGUACAAAAACAUGCGAAAGUGAAUGCCACCAGGAUGCCCUGAAGUCGAUGCAGAAGUGAAAGCAAGAAAGGCAAGCGAAAUCGUGACACAUGCUCAAAAUCUGGAUUUUGAAGACGGGUGAUCAGCUGCAAGUUUGCAUGCAUAUUUCACUAGAUAAACUGACUCUCCUUUCUUUGUUAUGUGGCUUAGUUGAAACAUUUAGUUGCUUCUCUUGAUGUACUUGUUCGUUUCAUUUACAUUUUUUCUUUAAAAAAUGCAAACAUGCAAUCUAGCUAUAGCAACUAUAUCUGCAAUGCUGUCACCAGAGAUUUUGUAGGUGAUCAAAGAACCAAAAUAUCAUAUCGCAUCGCCACCUUGAACCUAGAGUGAAACAUUAGUUCAAGAUGUAGUGGUAGGUGCAUUUAUAGAUUAGUAAUACAGCAUUCAUACUGUAAUGUAUAUUGAUAUACAUGCUAAGAUGUAGCGAAAAGUGUGUGGCUAUGCUGCUCUGACACUUCAGUUGUUUUAACCUUUCAUUGAUGAGUUCUGCAUACAGCAUACCAAAAAAUUAUAAUUUUUCUUGCUGAUUUUUGGCAUUGAGUAAGAAGUUUCUUGUUAAAUGUAUUGAGCCAACACUGAAUGACUGGCAGCUAGUGUCAUUUGUCGGUUUAGAGCAGAAACACAAGAUGGGAAAAAAAGACAUGGGACUCGUUUUCUUUGGAAAGCACGGUCAGGGGAGACAGACCAGUGCAAGAUCUGCUGUAGUGACCUCAGACACACAAUGCAAAGAGCUCUCUGUAUAGAUUCCAAACGCAGCCAUAUGUCGCUUGGGGAGAAGCCCACUUCUUCCCCUAUACUAUAAAGGAGUUUCUACAAAAUAUCCUUUAUUUUUGUUGAUUAUGCUUAUUCUCAAUGUCUUUUGCACAUUUAGGAAAAUAAUUUGUUUUGUAUUUAUAUGCGUGGUCAUUAAAGGGUUAGACAAAUAAAGUGGUUCCAAUGAAUGUGAAUGUAUAACUUUAGCGACUCUAGUCGCAAUGUGUUGAUCAUUCCACAAUCUUUGUGAGAGCACGAAACAGGAACUAGGCAGCAUGAAAAUCACUCAGCAGUACCAAGAAGGAAGCUUCAGCACUUAUACAGUACUGCAGAAUACACUUCUUCUAUGCUGUACCUGUGGUGUCCUUUUUAUUAUGUGGUCUUGAUCCCACUAUGGGGAAAUAACGCUGCUUUGCAAGUGCAUUGCAGUACUUUAAUACUUUAACUGCUUGCUGCAAAAGGAAAGUGCCAUUAGAGUAUUACAUAAGGAUCAUGUGUUAUGAGGCAGUUGCUAGACGUGGUAUGUCACAGCACUGAGUUGCCGGCGGCCAUUAUAAUUAGCUGUUUUCUGUGGCAUUGUUAACUUGACAGAACAUAGUGAGCAUUAUUUGAUCAAUAAACAAUACUACAUAAUUCUGGCCCUUAUUUGGAACUUUGUCUCAUCUCUGUGAUGCGCGCAACCCGCUUUUGAUGUUACUGAGAUGGAGUGACUCCUUGCAAAGCAGCAGGGUAGUUCUGUUAAUGAUGCUGUCAUUCACACUUACGCAGAUUGUUUAGUAGGCAUUAGCUCAGUGCCAUUCCCCCAUAGAAUCACAGCUUGCAUUUCAUUCAUGUAUAAUAGAAACAUUCUGUAGAUUUCAUGUGAAAAUGUGACAUUGGAGGGCAUUAUGCUAUAAGUUCACAGCAGUGAGCCCCAUUAUUGGAAGACAGCUGUUGUCUCAAAUUACUUACAGCAAAGUGAAGCCAUGUACAUUCUUGCCUUAACUACUGCAGUUUAGUAUGGGCCACAAUGACCAAAACAAACAUAAAUAAGGUUCUCGUAUUGCAAAAGAAAAUUGUUCGAAUAAUCGCUAAUUUUGAUAAUACAACUACCUCCAAAUGUGCUUUUGAAGCACAUAACAUUGUCCGCGUCAAUCAUUUGUAUAACUUUAAGUUGUUACAAAAAAUUUAUUUCUCAAUGGCAUCCACUGCCGAUUUUUAUUCUACUCUGGCAUCUUUGGACAUGCGUCGUGCUAACAUACUCACAAGACCUAGUAAUACAUAGAUUAUACCAUGUUUUCGCGCUAAUUAUAAAUUGCAAAUGUUGUCUUAUAACCUGCCCCAUGUUCUAAAAGGGUAUACCAAAGCUGAGCUGCGGAAAUAUUUUGUUGAAAUGUGAUUUUAUGUGUUGAAAUGUGAUUUUAUGUCUUUGCUAGUAGAUGCUGCAUGUUUGCUUGGUUAUUACUUAUUGUUUCUGAACAUAAGUGUGACCAUUUCAGCGUUUCGAUUUUACUGUUCAAAUUUUGUGCAAAGAUUAUGACUCUGUAUGCAUAAAUAGUGAAUGUUUCUCUUUAUUGAAUGUGACUAUUCUAUGUGUGUCUGUUGAAGAUUUCCUGCACCACUCGUGUGCUACUGCUUGUAGGGGUUUCCUGGACACGGUCAAGCUGUGCAGGCAGCUUUUUGCCAAAAACCUACCCUCCAGUUGAAUCUGGAAAAUGAACUUAUAACCUUAUACUUAUUUAAGUAUGUUCUGCCUAUUGUGUAUCCACAUGUGUGGGCUUGUAAUAUGCCCUGAAGGCAAGGCCAUUUGUGGUUCGUUCAAAAAGAACAUUUACGGAUGCAUUAUAGCUAUUCUCAGGCUCCUCUCUUCCUGCUGUAAACUGGAUUCUCUGCUUAUAAGAAAUAAGUGUUCCUUGUGAUUACUAUAUGUGCCCUUGCUAAAGGUUACUGUGAUGUGUUCAUGUUCUUAUUGAAUAAAAUGUUUACAAAGUUUUAA
Dermacentor andersoni is the source of this 3708-nucleotide long non-coding RNA. RefSeq lists it as uncharacterized. Lineage: Eukaryota; Metazoa; Arthropoda; Arachnida; Ixodida; Ixodidae. The record is from RefSeq and is a predicted model, not a curated record.